RNAcentral lists this ribosomal RNA (253 nucleotides) under uncultured bacterium. Its description in RNAcentral is "partial 16S ribosomal RNA". It matches the Rfam family "Bacterial small subunit ribosomal RNA", at positions 524 to 776 of the family's 1533-position model. The record is from RNAcentral.
UACGUAGGGGGCUAGCGUUGUCCGGAAUCAUUGGGCGUAAAGCGCGUGUAGGCGGCUCGAUAAGUCUGCUGUGAAAGUCCAGGGCUCAACCCUGGAAGGCCGGUGGAAACUGUCGGGCUAGAGUCCGGAAGGGGCGAGUGGAAUUCCUGGUGUAGCGGUGAAAUGCGCAGAUAUCGUCAAGAACACCUAUUGCGAAGGCAGCUCACUAAGCUUUAACUGACACUGAGGCACGAAAGUGUGGGGAUCAAACAGG